GGGCGUUUGGUCUAGUGGUAUGAUUCAAGCUUUGGGUGCGAGAUGUCGCGAGUUCGAUUCUCGCCACGCCCC
This 72-nucleotide transfer RNA is filed under the name Triticum aestivum (bread wheat). It matches the Rfam family "tRNA". Rfam says of the family: Transfer RNA (tRNA) molecules are approximately 80 nucleotides in length. Their secondary structure includes four short double-helical elements and three loops (D, anti-codon, and T loops). Lineage: Eukaryota; Viridiplantae; Streptophyta; Magnoliopsida; Poales; Poaceae. The record is from Rfam by way of RNAcentral.